GGAGGGUGCAAGCGUUAUCCGGAUUCACUGGGUUUAAAGGGUGCGUAGGUGGAUUAGUAAGUCAGUGGUGAAAUCUCUGGGCUUAACUCAGAAACUGCCAUUGAUACUAUUAGUCUUGAAUACCGUGGAGGUCAGCGGAAUAUGUCAUGUAGCGGUGAAAUGCUUAGAUAUGACAUAGAACACCAAUUGCGAAGGCAGCUGGCUACACGAAUAUUGACACUGAGGCACGAAAGCGUGAGGAUCAAACAGGAUUAGAUACCCUGGUAGUUCACGCCCUAAACGAUGGAUACUCGACAUUUGCGAUAAACUGCAAGUGUCUGAGCGAAAGCAUUAAGUAUCCCACCUGGGAAGUACGAUCGCAAGAUUGAA
RNAcentral lists this ribosomal RNA (369 nucleotides) under uncultured bacterium. RNAcentral describes it as "bacterial SSU rRNA". It matches the Rfam family "Bacterial small subunit ribosomal RNA", at positions 527 to 898 of the family's 1533-position model. The record is from RNAcentral.